AGAGAGAGACAUGCGCGCAUAUCAAUAAGCGGAGGAAAAGAAACUAACUAAGGAUUCCCCUCAGUAACGGCGAGUGAAGCGGGAAGAGCUCAAAUUUGAAAUCUUCAAGGUUCUACCUUUACGAAUUGUAGUUUAAAGAAGUGUUUUCUGUUGAGGUUUUGGUAAAAGUUCUUUGGAAUAGGACAUCAUAGAGGGUGAGAAUCCCGUAUUUGACCAUUACUUUCAACUUUGUGAUACACUUUCAAAGAGUCGGAUUGUUUGGGAAUGCAGUCCAAAAUGGGUGGUAAAUUUCAUCUAAAGCUAAAUAUUGGCGAGAGACCGAUAGCGAACAAGUACCGUGAGGGAAAGAUGAAAAGAACUUUGAAAAGAGAGUUAAACAGUACGUGAAAUUGUCAAAAGGGAAGCGUUUGACACCAGUGUUGUUUUUCUGAAAAUCAAUUAAAGAACUGUUUAUGCUAAGCUGUUUAGACUUUAUCAGCUAUCUGUUUAGUUUUGAGCUUUUCUUUAAUGCACUUUUCAGUUAACAAGUCAACAUCAAUUUCUUUUGCUGUAAAAAAGCUUGAGGAAGGUGGCUUGAGAUUCGUCUUAAGUGUUUAUAGCCUCUUGCCUAUGCAGUCGGAGAGAUUGAGGUCUGCAGCGUAGAUCCUUCGGGGCUAGAUACAUUUGUGCUAAGUUAUAGCAUUUCAUAGACAACUUGUUGACUAUGAUUAGUCAUUGUAGCUUACUCGCUUAUGUUAUUUUACCUACGCUUAGGAUGUUGAUGUGAUACUGCGAGCA
RNAcentral lists this ribosomal RNA (777 nucleotides) under uncultured Neocallimastigales. Its description in RNAcentral is "partial large subunit ribosomal RNA". It matches the Rfam family "Eukaryotic large subunit ribosomal RNA", at positions 23 to 646 of the family's 3401-position model. Lineage: Eukaryota; Fungi; Neocallimastigomycota; Neocallimastigomycetes; Neocallimastigales. The record is from RNAcentral.